ACUGAUGAUGAUGCUACUGUUGGGGGUAUUGGCGGAGACCAGGUCAAUCGUACUCCCAAGAUGCCACCGUUUAUUUUUCAAACCCCACUUGCUAGUCAUCAUCUGCGAGUUUAGCCAGCCUGUAGCGAGCACACCACCGCGACUGCUGCUAUCAUUGUAGAUCUUCGGGAACAGCUUGAGGCACGGGAUGCUGAGUUGAAGAGACAUGAUCGAGCCAUGGAGCGGAUGCAACAUGUUAUGCGAGCUGCUGGUCUCUUACCCCCAGAGUAUGAAGAUAAGGAGAACGAGGAGCCACAAGAGGUGUUAGUUGAGAUCCGCUCAGUUACCCAUGAGCGGAGUAGGAAUCCUAUUAGAGAUCGUGAUGAGGGGUGGGGUAGUUCCUUUAAAGCAUUCACGUACCACAAACCCCCUAUCUUGUUAGGAGGUGAUAACCUAGCAUUUUGCAUGCAAUGGUUGUGCAAGAUGAGGCAAAUUUUCCAUUCAUGCGACUUCACUAAGUCACAGAAACUCAGUUAUACAGUAUUGAAGGCUCUUUAGUGGUGGGAGGCGUUGGACUAUGUUGUUCCUAAGGCUACACUUGAUGAUAUGACACUACUGGAAAACAAGGCUAUACAGUACACCCACAUCUAAUACGGUUGUAAAUAAAAACCGUUUUAGAAAGGGCUAAAUAAAUAUAAUACGCCCAAUUACAACAUCUAAUACGGUUAAUGUGCUGUACUAGAAACAAGAUCAAAUACCUAAAUAAAAUAUGCCACAUUUUGGAAUAAAGUACGGCUCAAUACCUAAAUUGAAUACGCUGAAUAAGUACUCAGCUUCCUCAGCUUACAACAUCUAGUACUCAGCUUCCUCCUCCUACACUUCUCCACCCAACCCAACACCUUAACACCACCCUUCCUCCAUCUCUACACCACUAAUCGGUCCUUUAUCUCUAUCUCCCCUGUCGCAACACCAUCAUCACCGGCUAGCCUCGCCUCGCACCUCCAAUAAUUCAACCAACCCACCACCGGACCAUCAUCAUCAUACGGCAAGAGCUUUGAUUUCUGUUUUUGCAACAGACAAACACAGGCAAAAAUACAAAGGAACUACAACUAUUUCACGAUGGAUAAGGGAGCGUCUGUGAUCGAGAUGCAAAAUCAAAUGGUGUAUCAUGAAACUUGGAUGUAUGGACUACCAUGGGCUAGCAGUGAAUAUGUACAUAACCUCAAGAAGUUUCUUAAAGUUGUUGAGGAUCGUCGGGUGCAUAGAGGAGAAUGUUACAUUUGGUGUCCUUGUAAAAUGUACCAAAAUUGUAAAAAGGUCUAUGAUUUGGAUGUAAUAGAAGAAUAUAUGAUAUUUGAAGGAUUUAUGAAUCGAUAUACGUGUUGAUCACAACAUGGCGAGUUAUUGAUUGAUCACAACACAAUUGAUGUCGAAUCUAAUUAUGAUGAUACAGAUGAUUCAGAGGAUGACAUCCAUGAUAACCUACCUCCAUUUUCUAUCGGUAUUCCAUCUAUGAAUGUUGAUAUUAAUGACGCUGCUUACUUAAGAUCGGACCAUAACGAAGGAUCAUAUGUUGAAGAAAGCAACACAGACGACACGACACUGGAGGACAAUAACAAUGAUAAUUGCAGUUGAGGUUCUUCAUGGGGAGAUUUACUAUGAUUGCAUUAUGAAAAACUUGUGUAGUAUCAACAUGAUGCGAGGAUAAAAACUAUGUUGAGUUUUUGAUGUUUAUGUCACAUGUAAUAUGUUCUAUAUUAUACAAAGUCAUUUUUUAGUGAUGAACAUUAAUCUUUGUUCAUCACUAAAUGCUCAA
This is a long non-coding RNA of Lactuca sativa (garden lettuce), 1795 nucleotides long. RefSeq lists it as uncharacterized. Lineage: Eukaryota; Viridiplantae; Streptophyta; Magnoliopsida; Asterales; Asteraceae. The record is from RefSeq and is a predicted model, not a curated record.